Callithrix jacchus (white-tufted-ear marmoset) is the source of this 292-nucleotide unclassified non-coding RNA. It matches the Rfam family "Metazoan signal recognition particle RNA". From Rfam's summary of the family: The signal recognition particle (SRP) is a universally conserved ribonucleoprotein. It is involved in the co-translational targeting of proteins to membranes. The record is from Ensembl. Lineage: Eukaryota; Metazoa; Chordata; Mammalia; Primates; Cebidae.
CCAUAGCAUGUACUUCUCUAGUUCCAGCUCCUUGGGUGGUUCAGGGAGGAGAAUUUCUUGAAUUCAGAAGUUCUGGACUGUAGUGUACUGUACCUGUUGGGUGUCUACACUAAGUUUGAUAUUAAUAUAUGAUGAUCUCCACAGAACUGGGGGCUACCAAAUUGCAUUAGGGGUAGUGAAUGGGCCCAGGUCAGAAACAGAGCAAGUCAGAACACCCAUGCUGAUUAAUAGUGGGAUUGCUCCCGUGAGUAGCCACUGUACUUCAGCCUGGGCAGCGUAGCAAGACUCUGUC